RNAcentral lists this ribosomal RNA (440 nucleotides) under uncultured bacterium. RNAcentral describes it as "partial 16S ribosomal RNA". It matches the Rfam family "Bacterial small subunit ribosomal RNA", at positions 338 to 795 of the family's 1533-position model. The record is from RNAcentral.
CCUACGGGAGGCAGCAGUGGGGAAUAUUGCACAAUGGGGGAAACCCUGAUGCAGCGACGCCGCGUGAGUGAAGAAGUAAUUCGUUAUGUAAAGCUCUAUCAGCAGGGAAGAAAAUGACGGUACCUGAGUAAGAAGCCCCGGCUAACUACGUGCCAGCAGCCGCGGUCAUACGUAGGGGGCAAGCGUUAUCCGGAUUUACUGGGUGUAAAGGGAGCGUAGACGGCAGUGCAAGUCUGGAGUGAAAGGCGGGGGCUCAACCCCCGUACUGCUCUGGAAACUGUACGGCUGGAGUGCAGGAGAGGUAAGUGGAAUUCCUAGUGUAGCGGUGAAAUGCGUAGAUAUUAGGAGGAACACCAGUGGCGAAGGCGGCUUACUGGACUGUAACUGACGUUGAGGCUCGAAAGCGUGGGGAGCAAACAGGAUUAGAUACCCUAGUAGUC